AUUGAACGCUGGCGGCAGGCCUAACACAUGCAAGUCGAGCGGAGCGGCGGACGGGCGAGUAAUGACUAGGAAUCUGCCUGGUCGUGGGGGAUAACGUACGGAAACGGGCGCUAAUAUCGCAUACUAUCAGAUGAGCCUAGGUCGUGUUAGCUCGUUGGUGGGGUAAAGGCCUACCAAGACGACGAUCCGUAACUGGUCUGAGAGGAUGAUCAGUCACACUGGAACUGAGACACGGUCCAGACUCCUACGGGAGGCAGCAGUGGGGAAUAUUGGACAAUGGGCGAAAGCCUGAUCCAGCCAUGCCGCGUGUGUGAAGAAGGUCUUCGGAUUGUAAAGCACUGUAAGUUGGGAGGCGUUACCAACAGAAUAAGCACCGGCUAACUUCGUGCCAGCAGCCGCGGUAAUUC
This 407-nucleotide ribosomal RNA is filed under the name uncultured bacterium. Its description in RNAcentral is "partial 16S ribosomal RNA". It matches the Rfam family "Bacterial small subunit ribosomal RNA", at positions 30 to 526 of the family's 1533-position model. The record is from RNAcentral.